AAAUUGACAUUCUAUCAUAUAGUAUACCUUGUUGUAAAACACUUAAUGGACCAGCAGAGAAUUCAUAUUCUUCUAGACGAGCGAGUUCUAUUUCGCUCAGUUCACUUCUAGGUUUAUCAACCAAAUCGCUAAAUUAUUAGAAAAAAGAAAUCAAAAAAUUUUAGAUAAAAGGACAAAAGACAUACGCCAUUAGAACGAUACAAGCUAGGAAUAUCAAAAAUGGUAGAAUUUUAAGUCUCUUGGGGGUCAAGGACAAGUGCUAUUUAACGAGCAAGUUCAAGAUUGCACAAAAUGGAUUUCAAGUUAGAAGCGAAAUGUUGAAAAUCAAUUUCGGUUCAAUAUUUUACUAUAUCUUAUUAUUAAUUAAAAAAAAUCUUUUAAUCACACACUUUAACUCAUACCUGACAACUUUCAAUGUGGGAUAUAAAAAACUGAAUGCAUUGUAAUUGUUUAUUGAUUAUAACAUUAGAAGUAUAAUUGGACUACUUAAUCACAAAAUCCCUAAGGUCUCAUAAACUAACUAUCCUUUCAAAUGCAAAGUCAUUGAAUUGAAGGAUGAACACUAGCUACUUAUGGAAAUUAAGCUGA
Schizosaccharomyces pombe (fission yeast) is the source of this 588-nucleotide non-coding RNA. Lineage: Eukaryota; Fungi; Ascomycota; Schizosaccharomycetes; Schizosaccharomycetales; Schizosaccharomycetaceae. The record is from the annotation of a GenBank genome assembly.